RNAcentral lists this ribosomal RNA (774 nucleotides) under uncultured Neocallimastigales. RNAcentral's name for it is "partial large subunit ribosomal RNA". It matches the Rfam family "Eukaryotic large subunit ribosomal RNA", at positions 24 to 646 of the family's 3401-position model. Lineage: Eukaryota; Fungi; Neocallimastigomycota; Neocallimastigomycetes; Neocallimastigales. The record is from RNAcentral.
GUAGUCUCGCACAGAUGCAUAUCAAUAAGCGGAGGAAAAGAAACUAACAAGGAUUCCCCUAGUAACGGCGAGUGAAGCGGGAAGAGCUCAAAUUUGAAAUCUUAAAGGGUUUCCCUUUACGAAUUGUAGUUUAAAGAAGUGUUUUCUGUUGAGGUUUUGGUAAAAGUUCUUUGGAAUAGGACAUCAUAGAGGGUGAGAAUCCCGUAUUUGACCUUUACUUUCAACUUUGUGAUACACUUUCAAAGAGUCGGAUUGUUUGGGAAUGCAGUCCAAAAUGGGUGGUAAAUUUCAUCUAAAGCUAAAUAUUGGCGAGAGACCGAUAGCGAACAAGUACCGUGAGGGAAAGAUGAAAAGAACUUUGAAAAGAGAGUUAAAUAGUACGUGAAAUUGUCAAAAGGGAAGCGUUUGACACCAGUGUUGUUUUUCUGAAAAUCAAUUAAAGAACUGUUUAUGCUAAGCUGUUUAGACUUUAUCAGCUAUCUGUUUAGUUUUGAGCUUUUCUUCAAUGCACUUUUCAGUUAACAAGUCAACAUCAAUUUCUUUUGCUGUAAAAAAGCUUGAGGAAGGUGGCUUGAGAUUCGUCUUAAGUGUUUAUAGCCUCUUGCCUAUGCAGUCGGAGAGAUUGAGGUCUGCAGCGUAGAUCCUUCGGGGCUAAAUGCAUUUGUGCUAAGUUAUAGCAUUUUAUAGACAACUUGUUGACUAUGAUUUGUCUUGUAGCUUACUCGCUUAUGUUAUUUUACCUACGCUUAGGAUGUUGAUCUGUAGUGCGUGCGC